Molecule: long non-coding RNA, 698 nt
Organism: Drosophila miranda
Lineage: Eukaryota; Metazoa; Arthropoda; Insecta; Diptera; Drosophilidae
Exons: 3
Source: RefSeq, a predicted model, not a curated record
AGCUCUGGCAGUGAAUGAAUUAAGUUCCUAACAAGAAAAAUGUUGAAAGUGCGCAGCGGUCUAUCUAUAAUUCAGGCGCAAAAAGCAGCCCUCUCUGUCAGCAGUCCGCUGCGUUGGCAGACCACAGCAGCUGUAGCAGAGCCCAGAAAUGAUGCAGAGUGGCUACAAGCUCGUCCCUUUGAUCAGAUUCCUAGUACAACUUUUCUGUCUACUGUUCGGAAUUUUAUGCCUGGAGGAAAAUAUAGCAAACUGGACAUUGUGAAAUUGUUCAAAGCUUUGCAAGACGACUAUGGAAACAUAUUAUAUUUACCAGGUAUGAUGGGGGAGGUACGUCAUACCUGAUGACUCACAAUCCCAAGGACUUCGAGGUCGUGUUCCGGAACGAAGGAGUGUGGCCGCAUCGGCCUGGCAGCGAUACUCUUCGCUAUCAUCGGAAGACUCAUAGAAAGGAUUUCUUACAGUGAGUGGAGGCAGCUUUACCCACACAAGGAAAAACCUGGAGCGACUUUCGAUCGGCUGUAAAUCCUGUCCUAAUGCAGCCGAAGAACGUGCGGCUUUACUAUAAGAAGAUGUCCCAAGUGAACCAGGAGUUUGUGCAACGUAUUAAAGCACUCCGUGAUAUCGAUACCCAGGAAGCUCCAGAUGAUUUCUUAAACGUUAUAAAUCGGUGGACCCUCGAGUCAGUCUCUGUGGUGGCU